UACAGAGGGUGCGAGCGUUAAUCGGAAUUACUGGGCGUAAAGCGCACGUAGGUGGCGACGUAAGUCGGGUGUGAAAGCCCCGGGCUCAACCUGGGAAUUGCAUUCGAGACUGCAUUGCUCGAGUACGGAAGAGGAAGGCGGAAUUCCCGGUGUAGCGGUGGAAUGCGUAGAUAUCGGGAGGAACUUCAGUGGCGAAGGCGGCCUUCUGGUCCAGUACUGACACUCAAGGGCGAAAGCGUGGGGAGCAAACAGG
Molecule: ribosomal RNA, 253 nt
Filed under: uncultured bacterium
Lineage: Bacteria
Description: partial 16S ribosomal RNA
Rfam family: Bacterial small subunit ribosomal RNA
Source: RNAcentral